Molecule: ribosomal RNA, 611 nt
Filed under: uncultured Tomentella
Lineage: Eukaryota; Fungi; Basidiomycota; Agaricomycetes; Thelephorales; Thelephoraceae
Description: eukaryotic LSU rRNA
Rfam family: 5.8S ribosomal RNA (bases 186-340)
Source: RNAcentral
CGGGUUGUUGCUGGCCCCCAAACCGGGCACGUGCACNCCCUGUUUACGCAUCCACUCACACCUGUGCACCCUCUGUAGUUCUGUGGACCGGGAGACGUCGUCUUCCUUCCGUGGCUCUACGUCUUUACACACACGCCGUAGCGAAGUCUCAUGGAAUGUUUUUCGCGUUUAACGCAAUACAAUACAACUUUCAGCAACGGAUCUCUUGGCUCUCGCAUCGAUGAAGAACGCAGCGAAAUGCGAUAAGUAAUGUGAAUUGCAGAAUUCAGUGAAUCAUCGAAUCUUUGAACGCACCUUGCGCCCCUUGGUUAUUCCUCGGGGCAUGCCUGUUUGAGUAUCAUGAACACCUCAACUCUCGUGGUCUUCCAUGAUGAGCUUGGACUUUGGGGGUUUGCUGGCCCUGUGGCCGGCUCCUCUCAAACGAAUCAGCUUGCCAGUGUUUGGCGGCGUCACGGGUGUGAUAACCAUCUACGCUUGCGAUCGCCUGCCAGAUAACCCUCAGCGAUGAAGGUUCAUUGGGGCUCACAAAAGUCUCUCCACGGCGAGGACAAAUUUUGAAUGUUCGAUCUCAAAUCAGGUAGGACUACCCGCUGAACUUAAGCAUAUCAAUA